RNAcentral lists this ribosomal RNA (279 nucleotides) under uncultured bacterium. Its description in RNAcentral is "partial 16S ribosomal RNA". It matches the Rfam family "Bacterial small subunit ribosomal RNA", at positions 28 to 304 of the family's 1533-position model. The record is from RNAcentral.
GAUGAACGCUAGCGGCAGGCUUAAUACAUGCAAGUCGAACGGUAACAUGAGUAGCAAUACUUGAUGACGAGUGGCGCACGGGUGCGUAACGCGUAUGCAAUCUACCUUCAACUGGUGAAUAGCCCGAAGAAAUUCGGAUUAAUACACCAUAGUAUAUUAGAGUGGCAUCACUUUAAUAUUAAAACUCCGGUGGUUGAAGAUGAGCAUGCGUGACAUUAGCUAGUUGGCGAGGUAAUGGCUCACCAAGGCUACGAUGUCUAGGGGAUCUGAGAGGAUUAA